This 417-nucleotide unclassified non-coding RNA is filed under the name Hevea brasiliensis (rubber tree). Lineage: Eukaryota; Viridiplantae; Streptophyta; Magnoliopsida; Malpighiales; Euphorbiaceae. The record is from RNAcentral.
GUUUCAAAUAUGGGUUAUCUUCGUGGGAAGGAACCUGCACUGUCUACCUCUUCAUUGCCUGCUAGACCUUUGCAGCAUCUUAAUUCAUUCCCUUUGAGAGGAAAUAAUGAGUUAGCUAUGCGUGGAGGAGACUCAUGGGCAGCAGGUGCUCCUAGGAGGAACUCAACACCUUCAACAACACAAAAGCCAUUCAUUCCAUCAUACAGACUGUUUGAGGAUCUAAACGUUUUUGGCGGUACAGAUCCAAGAUUGAAGGUGACUAGCAGUAACGCAACUUCUAGCUUAGCCGGAAGUUCUGGCCAAAGUAUGGUGGGUGGGAGAAAGUGAAAAUAGUCAGCUCAUUAGCUGAAGAAAUUCUCCAUGUCAAUAUAAAAGUAUCUUUUUCAUCUUUGUGAUGUAUUUAAAACAGAUUGGCAG